This is a long non-coding RNA of Triticum aestivum (bread wheat), 2858 nucleotides long. RefSeq lists it as uncharacterized. The transcript is spliced from 3 exons. Lineage: Eukaryota; Viridiplantae; Streptophyta; Magnoliopsida; Poales; Poaceae. The record is from RefSeq and is a predicted model, not a curated record.
GCAUCCCAGCCCAAAAAAACGCCCCAGUCUUCUCACCACCCAGCCGCCUCCCACGACUAGAAACCCCCGGUCACCGCAAGCCUACCACCCAACCACCGCGAGGCAUCCAUCCCCGGCCACCGCUGGCCACCAUCCCCAACCACCUCGAGGCUCCCACCCCCGACCACCGCUGGCCUCCAUCCUCGGCCGCCGCGAGGCUCCCACCCCCGGCCACCGUGGACCUCAAUCCCUGGCCGCCGCGAGCGCCACCGCCCUGCAUGCCUGCAUCUAUCCCAUUCCCGGCGACAAGGUCGCCGCCUAUGGAUCUCUCCUGUAGCCUCCCUUCAUGCUAGUGGAGGGAGAAGUACGUUUUCUGAAAAAAUGGCAGUAAACAGGCAUCGGGUCACUUUUUUGAUUCUACUCUUUUCUUGAUUUGUUAUUAGAUCAGAGAUGGAGUUGGCAAAUUUCUUCUGCCUUUUCUGUUCAAUGGAUAGAUGGAUGGAUGGGUGUAGUUCUCUGAAUGUAACAAGUGAUCCAAUGCUGCUUAACUUCCUCUGAACCGCCCUAAUCUUGUCCUACUCCCAGUCAUUAUCAGUUCGACAAAAGGUUGUAGAAAAGGUCAGAGUUGAGACUAGUUGUCAUUAAGGUUAGCCCCUUUGUUUUAGAUUCAGUAUCUCCAUUACCAGUAUAAAAAAAGGACCAGCGGACCAAUCAUAGCGCCGCUCAUGAUCUCUGCCUCCAAGCGCUGCACCCAUUGAUCAACCACACACGGCCAAAUCCUGGCGGCGCUCAUGAUCUGUGCCUCCAUCAGCUCCACUUCACCAAAGCAAUCAGUCCAUAGGAGGAGGUGUAGCUGGUCCACCUGAUCUCUGACGUCUUAUUCCAACUCCAGAAAAAUUCUUUUUGAGUUCUAUUCUUAGUCAUAGCACACAUGUAGCUUUUAAACUUCUUUUCCAGUCAUUCUAGUACUGAUGAAGAUCUAGUUGAUUGAAAUAAUGUAGUCGAUUCCUGAGACCCUUACUAGUCCUUCUAUAUAUAGAACUUGUGCCUGAUAGGGACAUGCCUUAUCUCUUUGUUGCCUGCUUGUUUUUGUAAAAUUCUUUGAACUUAUUUAGGUGAUAUAUUUGGACCUUUGCCUCGCCAGUACGACAUCAUGCUCCAUAGCCGGGCACGAGAAAAGCUGCAUGCAGGCCACCUUGUGCUCCGUCCUCUAUCCGCCUCAGUCAUCUCAGUCUCAUCCUCUCUCUCUGCUCUGUGUGUGUGCAGGGAGUGGGAGGAGAUAGAGCAUGGGAGUGGGCGGCCCUUCCGUAGCAAAUGCAUAGGCAUCUUCCAUGGAGAUUCUGAGCUCUCUCGAUUAUUGCUUAAGGAUUUAUAUUAUUGGUUUGUCCACUGUAGUUCUUGUAUAUCCGUGUCUUCUUUUUCUCAUGUUCCUCUUUCGAUGUUGCUACAUGUGUUUAAUGACCCACUGAUAUGAUUUCUGGAAACAAGCUUCAAUACAGAGAAGCUUCAGUACGAGAAAAAAUGGGUCAUCAGUUCAUCCAUAUGCAACCUUCUGCGUGGUCGUCCAUUUUUAUUUGGAGCCUACUCACCGCAAAGCACAAAAGAGGUUGGUGCUCACCUUCUUCGAGACCGCCACCCGCUCCCACAUUUGCAGGCUCUACGGCAAGACCUACUGCCCCGCCACCGCCACCGGUGAGCAAGCAUGCAUAAAAAUAAUCUUCCGUUUUUGUUUCUUUUAGUGUCAGAACCUUGCUUACAAACAAACACAAUAAAUAACACCGUGAGUCUGAACAUUCCUGCUAUUGAAUUCAGUACUAGUUAUCUAAUUUCUAGCUUCCACGCCCAUUGUGAAUUGUUGUUACCGAGGGAAGAGUUCAUAGUUGUUGUCUGAUGUUUAUUGAGGCAAAGGUUAUAAGUUUGUACUAAUAAACUAUAGUUUACUAAGGCAAAGAGUUAGAAGUAUUCAACACUCCAUGUAGUUGUCUAAACGACAGUUUGGUAGCUGUCCAAAUAAUUUUCUAAACAACAGUCUGAACAUUCCUGCUGCUGAAUAUCUCUCCUCUCUCAAAUUCGUUCAAAUUUGUUGUUGUUGUUGUUGCCUUGAGGGACCUCAAGUUAUUUGUUGUUAUUCCUAUGAGAAACCUUGUUUGGAUCGAAAGUAGCAUAUAUUCUAUUCUAUUCUUGCAAAAGCUUCAUUUCUGUUCUGUUUUGAAGUUACUUGGCAUAAAAAUUACUAUAGACAUAUAUGCUAUUGUAAAAGACUAGAUUUCUUCUAAAUGUGAAGUUCAAGCUCUCGGGAUUUGCUCUUCAAUUUUUUAACAGAUGUAAUGCUAAAAAAUGUGAUCAAUGGAUGCUAAGAGGGAUUGAUGUUGAAUGUCAAACUUAUGUCUUUGUGUGUAGUUGGUAAGAUGUAUACUGCACAUCAGUGUAGUGAAAAGAAAUAAAAAAUUGCAGCUAAUUAUUUUAGAUGUUAGAUUGUGGAGUUUGAAGUAGCGGAGACGAUGACCAGAUGUAGAUCGGCGAGUGCUUGAUCAACCUCAGCAGCAGCAAGAAGGAGCGCAUUCAGCUCGCCCGCGCCGUCUACGAGGAAUGCGACAUCUAACUCCUUGACGAUGUCUUCAGCACCGUCGAUGCACACAACGGCAGUGAGAUCUUCAAGCCGUCAUCGUGAGGAUUAGCCACCGUCUAUUUGGCGCAAGGCCUACCUGCGAUGGUGCCAUCUAUCAUGAGGUACAUCCUGUUUGAAUCUCUCCUCUCCGGCUCCGCAUGGUGAAGGUCUUUGUGUCUACCAUUUGUACUGUCAAUUUAUUUUGAAUUGAACUGGUGCUGCACUUGAUUCAGAUCUGAGGGAAGAAAACAUAACUACAUAAUUCAGUUCC